ACGGCUAUCGCUUACAUUGCCUCGAUCUAUCUCCGUUAAUAGUGUUUGCUGAGCGAGGAUUAAACGAUCGUCCGGUUAUAUGCCUGUGUGCAUGCGGAAAAGUUCUGAGCGGUGACGUUAAACAGGAUGCAGUGACGGAGAUAGCGCAGGGGAGAGGGGCCUCCGAGUGCGCAUGUGAGUCAUCCGCCAUCUUAGUUUUCCUGUGACCACGUUUCUCAGAGUGAGAGCCAUUUAUUUUGUUUCCGUAUAUGCUCAAUGCCUUCAUUCAAUCCUAAUAAUUUCUGACAUGGAUUUAUGUUCUGAUUGUGAUGUCUCUUAGAGUUUAUGUCUGUUACUAAAAGAGAUUGUUGGUGUCAAUCACUGAUUCAGUCAGAACCUGUCAUCAUUGAACCUGGAAAAUCACACACACUGACAUGUACAGCCUCUGGGUUAGACUUUGAUAGCUACAGGAUGGAAUGGAACACAUACAAAUCUGGAAAAGUGCUGGAUGGGUUCAACCACAGAGUUGCAUUACGUUUCUGAUCAUGAAUAUUUUAUCUAUACUGGGUUUUAUUUUGAUGUUUACUCUAGAGUGUAAGACUGGCUCUUGAGAAACACUGAAUGUUAAACUAAUUUAUGUUUACUAAAUGUUAAAGUUUAAUUGUUUGUUUUCAGACUGUUGGUGUCAGACACUGACUGAAUCUGAGGCAGUGGUCAUCACACCAGGUGGAUCUCACACACUUACCUGCACGGCCUCUGGAUUUGGUGGUGAUUAUGACAUGUCCUGGAUCAGGCAGACAUCAGGAGGUGGUCUGCAGUGGCUGGCAUACAUCUCUGGUGGUGGUGGCACUACAUACUAUUCUCAGACUGUUUAGGGAAGAUUCACUGUCUCUAGAGACAACAACAAGAAACAGAUGUAUCUACGAAUGAACAAUAUGUAAAAUUAAGACACCGCUGUCUAUUAUUUUGCAAGAAAGACACAAUGGCAAAUAAUACUACAGCACUGUACAAAAACUGAACGCAACAAACAAGUUAUCAAAUGCCUGCAAACUUAUAAAAUAUUUGUCAUAGUAGCUUAAUAUACAGAUGACAAACACAUCAAAGAUAAUAUCAAAGUUUCAUAUUCAAGUUCAAGAAACAGUGAAGAUCUCCUGUAAAAUAUCUGGUUUUAAAAUGACAAGCUUCUACAUGCACUGGAUAAGACAGGAACCUGGGAAACCUCUGGAGUGGAUUGGAAGUGUUAACUCUGGUAGUAGUGCUGUGACAUAUGCAGACUCAAUGAAAGAUCAUUUUAUUCUGAGUGAGGACAUUUCUGCAAGAACACAAUAUCUUGAAGCCAAGAGUCUGAGAGAAGAGGACACUGCUGUAUAUUACUGUGCUCGAGAGUCACAGUGACUUGAUCUUACGAUCUCAACUCCACAAGAAUCAUCCAUCUUUAACUUAGUGUGACUUCAUUGUAAUUUGUGACUCCAGGUGAGAUAAUGAAUAAUCUGUACAAAUCGAUACAUUGGUAUUUUGUUGAACUGGUGAAGAGAUGCUUACAUUGUACAGUAAUUGUAAAUAAAAAUAUGAUGUU
Triplophysa dalaica is the source of this 1555-nucleotide long non-coding RNA. RefSeq lists it as uncharacterized. The record is from RefSeq and is a predicted model, not a curated record. The transcript has 3 exons. Lineage: Eukaryota; Metazoa; Chordata; Actinopteri; Cypriniformes; Nemacheilidae.